Molecule: transfer RNA, 68 nt
Filed under: Marmota monax (woodchuck)
Lineage: Eukaryota; Metazoa; Chordata; Mammalia; Rodentia; Sciuridae
Description: tRNA.Ala
Source: RNAcentral
GGAUUGUGGCUCAGCGGUAGAGCGCUUGCCUAGCAUGUGCAAGGCCCUGGGUUCGACCCUCAGCACCA